UACAGAGCCUGCAAGCGUUAUUCGGAUUCACUGGGCGUAAAGGGUGCGCAGGCGGUUGUGUGUGUCAGGUGUGAAAGCCCGGGGCUUAACCCCGGAAUUGCGCCUGAAACUACAUGACUAGAGCAUUGGAGAGGGUAGCGGAAUUCACGGUGUAGCAGUGAAAUGCGUAGAUAUCGUGAGGAACACCAGAGGCGAAGGCGGCUACCUGGACAAUUGCUGACGCUCAGGCACGAAAGCGUGGGGAGCAAAAGGG
Molecule: ribosomal RNA, 253 nt
Filed under: uncultured bacterium
Lineage: Bacteria
Description: partial 16S ribosomal RNA
Rfam family: Bacterial small subunit ribosomal RNA
Source: RNAcentral